This is a regulatory RNA element of 99 nucleotides. It matches the Rfam family "Purine riboswitch aptamer". From Rfam's summary of the family: Riboswitches are metabolite binding domains within certain messenger RNAs that serve as precision sensors for their corresponding targets. Allosteric rearrangement of mRNA structure is mediated by ligand binding, and this results in modulation of gene expression. The record is from Rfam.
AACUACAUCAAAUAAAUAGCCUAUAUAAUACCGAAAUAUGGUCGGUUAGUCUCUACCUAAAGCCGUAAACUUUAGACUAUAAGCGCUUCUUAAAAACUG